GUAAUCCACCUGGCAUCCUCCAGAAUGAACUUGUAGAUCCUAUACCUAAACUCUUUAAAGUGAUCAUUAGAAGGCUGAUAAGAUGGCAUGUUCUCCCUCCAACCUGUGUACCUGAUAGUUGUAUUGUUAAUAUUUAUGACGAGGGGGACUGUAUACCUCCACAUAUUGACAACCAUGAUUUUGUUCGGCCUUUCUGCACUGUGUCAUUUGUCAGUGAGUGCAAUAUAGUAUUUGGAUCAAACUUAAAGGUUGUUGGUGCUGGCGAGUUUACUGGAUCAAUUGCA
RNAcentral lists this unclassified non-coding RNA (284 nucleotides) under Hevea brasiliensis (rubber tree). Lineage: Eukaryota; Viridiplantae; Streptophyta; Magnoliopsida; Malpighiales; Euphorbiaceae. The record is from RNAcentral.